This 421-nucleotide ribosomal RNA is filed under the name uncultured bacterium. RNAcentral's name for it is "bacterial SSU rRNA". It matches the Rfam family "Bacterial small subunit ribosomal RNA", at positions 358 to 771 of the family's 1533-position model. The record is from RNAcentral.
GGAAUCUUCCACAAUGGGCGCAAGCCUGAUGGAGCAACGCCGCGUGUGUGAUGAAGGGUUUCGGCUCGUAAAACACUGGUAUAAGAGAAGAACGGCACUGAGAGUAACUGUUCAGUGUGUGACGGUAGCUUACCAGAAAGGAACGGCUAAAUACGUGCCAGCAGCCGCGGUAAUACGUAUGUUCCACACGUUAUCCGGAUUUAUUGGGCGUACAGCGAGCGCAGACGGUUAUUUAAGUCUGAAGUGAAAGCCCUCAGCUCAACUGAGGAAUGGCUUUGGAAACUGGAUGACUUGAGUGCAGUAGAGGAAAGUGGAACUCUAUGUGUAGCGGUGAAAUGCGUAGAUAUAUGGAAGAACACCAGUGGCGAAGGCGGCUUUCUGGACUGUAACUGACGUUGAGGCCCGAAAGUGUGGGUAGCAA